UGGAGGCGGGAAAGAGCAAGAGAAGUGAGGACAUAACUGUAGAAAAACGAGUACAUGUGUGAGUGUUUGCUUUAUUGCAGAGGCCCCACCUACCCCUCCAUCCUGUUAAGGAGGCACAGUCCUGAGGAGGAGGGGUAGGAUGGUGAGGAUCCCCUCCCUCAGCCAAGAGCGCACACACACACACACACACACACACACAUGCUCUCUGUGGUUCAUACACUCUAUUCAGUGAAAGAGCAGCCGCUGCUCUGGAUAGACCACGCAAGAUUCUGCAGGUGUCCCACCCUUCUCUCAAGUCUUGGAUGCCUCAGGAAGCAUCUUCCGGAGGUCUCCUCUCCCUGGCUGAUGUUAGCGAUGUGUCAGCAGUAAGCUAGGCCUGCCUGCGAGGCUGCUGGGCUGUGGUGGCGUCCAUCCCAGUCUGGCUAAAGGCCAGACCAGACAUGUCAUGGCACAACACAACGGAGAUAUGACAAGAUCAAGGAUUGGCAGAAAUGUUCUGUUACAAGAUGCAGUAUUGUUGAUCUAGUAAUAAACAAAGAACUCAAGUUUAAUAUUUAAAUAAAAACAAUGUCCCCCCCCCCCCCUUUUGUCUCUUUCCCUAACAGUCUGCUAUGAUGGAAGCAAGAUGUGAUGCUUGAAAAAGGAAGGGAUGUCAGAGGGGCGUGCAGCACACACACUGCGUUGGGCUCAAACCCAAAAAAGUCAUAAAACAUGUGUUUGUUGGGGUCACAGGCUGAAAGCUGGUGAAUGGUGACCUGAGUGAGAUGCCUUGGUGACAUCUGACCUCUAACUGGGUGUGUGGCUGACCCUGGAGGAUGCAGCUCAACAAUGGAAGGCACGUGCCUCAGCCUAAUCACCAUGGUAACGCUGAAUCUUUAGAGAGACAUAGGGGAAGGGGCCAAACUCUGUCUUUAUCCUGAUUGUUGUUAGCCAUCUGCUGUCAAUUGACUAGUAUGGAUAUGACACACACCCACCACUUCCACCACAGGGGAAGUGUGCGUGUUUGUGUCACAGCAUGGAUACGGUGACAAAUCCAAAGGCUGACUGGGUAAUCUCUGCAGGCAACUGUGAUGGUGAUUUCAUUCUCACAAUCACCUGGAGAGAUUUUGCAGUUUGUCUAAUAUGCUUUAAAAAUGAUUAAAUGACACCCCACACAUAUGCAUCUCUUUGGUUUGCAAAAUAAUGCACAGAAGACUGUGGAAAUUUGGAGGAAGAGCAUUCAUUUUAAUAAAUGUAAUUUUUUGUGUGAA
Molecule: non-coding RNA, 1250 nt
Organism: Oryzias latipes (Japanese medaka)
Lineage: Eukaryota; Metazoa; Chordata; Actinopteri; Beloniformes; Adrianichthyidae
Source: RefSeq, a predicted model, not a curated record